This 255-nucleotide long non-coding RNA is filed under the name Carica papaya (papaya). Its description in RNAcentral is "long non-coding RNA (CPAP_LNC013940)". Lineage: Eukaryota; Viridiplantae; Streptophyta; Magnoliopsida; Brassicales; Caricaceae. The record is from RNAcentral.
UAUCUUCAAAUUGUUAAUAGUUUUAGUCAUUGUUGUCAUAGUACUAGUCAUCGCAGUUAUCGUGUAAUAAUCAACAUAGUCGUCGCAUCGCAUGCAUGCAUGUAAAGGUAUUGGUUUGCGUUAGAAUUUUCUUCAAAUUAAUCUUCUCUUCAAUAUUUUAUAUCUCAUGUACUAGAACUAUUCUAUUUCUUAUUUUCUCUCUUGCCCUAGUUUGAUGUCGCUUCAUUGCUAUUUUUUAAAAUACAUGCAUGCCCA